GGUCUUUUUCCUUCUUUUUCUAGUUGUUUUAUUGUUAGGUAAGUUAAAAUAAUUCUUAUGUAAAAAAUAAUUUUAUAUAGAAAUUUAUUUUCUUUAUAAUAGAUUUUAUCAUCAUCAAAAUAGCUUAUAUUGUAUAUAAUAAUUUUCCCACAUUCAUAUUGUGUUAUGAAAGACAAAUCAUAUCAAAAUUAUACUUCCACUUCCUUUAAUUUAGUUUUAGUUAAGCCAUCAUAUCGCACAAGAGAUAUACUUUAUCUGGCAGUACCACUUUUAUUGUUCAUCACAGGCUAACCAACAGUUAUGAUAGGGCCAAUCGGAUUGAUUGAAGGAUGGGGUUCAACGACUCGAACUCGGACUCCUCCUGAAAAACUGGAGCUGUAGGACAUGAACCCAGUCCUUAAAAUGAUAUACGAUUGCUAUACCACGCGGCUAUCUGGAGGAUGUUUAACUUUCCUCAAUCUUAUUUUCGAGUUAUGGAUAUUAUGUUGUUGAUUGGACAUAAAUAAAAAGAAAUCUAAAUAUAACUAAUAUUUACUUGUUGCUAUAAAAAUCUGAACAGAAAUAAAAUCGUCUCAAUUAAAUACUUCAUUCUUCUAGUAAUGAGACUUUUAGGAUAAUCUAUCAUAAUGUUUCCGAAACGUAGAAUGUGUUCCUCUUAGGAGUCUUUUUUAAUGUAACAUUCGAAUCUUGCCGAUUAAUAAAUAGCAAUCGUUUACAAGAUCGAUUUGAGUUCUACUACAGCUACCCGCAUUUACACAUAAAGUGGUUAAAUUUUAUCAACAAAUGAAAAAUAGUUUCCAAUCUGUUGGUUAAUAAGCAGCGGGACGAAUUAUGUUUCUUAAAAAUAGGCCGGAUGGACUGAUAAAUGCGUAUUGUACUUCCAUCCUGGAAUAUCUGGGUUCAAUUCUCGGGUCUCCUAUCUCCAUAAGUUUAUUUCAGGAAGGAUCUGUGUCCAGUUCAUUGAAUUAUAUUUUCCAUCUGACGGCGGCUGACCCAAUCAUAGGGGUGAGAUGUGUGUGGCGGAUACUAGAAUGCUUAACGCUUAAACUCACUGAUUUUGUUAGAUAAGCCGCCAUAAAUUAUGGAUUAUGUUUUAUCUAGCGGCCGCCAUUUUUAGAAUCCAUCAUAGGCUGCCAACAUUAAUGAUAGAGUCAAUCGGAAAGUUUGAAUAAUGGAGAUCAAUGGGCCAAGUCCGGGUCUCUUCUGAAAAACUGGAAGUAUAGGGCCUGGAAUUGAAUUCAGAUCUUCCAAGGUGGCGAGGAAAUUCUUUAUCACAUGGUCAUCCGGCUAACUCUCACUGGAUGAAAAGCUACGUUUAACCACAUAAGGAGAUCCUGUUAUUGGUUGCCCUAUGGAGGGUCGGUCGGACUAUAGAAAGAGGAUAGACGGGCUAGGCUCGGAUUCCCAAAUAAAUUUUCCAAAGAAUAGAACAGAUGGAUAAAAAGCAUAUGCACUAAAUCACGCCAUCAAUCCUGGCACACUGAUACGGCGAAAUCAAUCGGCCUGUACAUGCAAGGAUCGCGGAAGAAGCUAGAACUCCUCAUACAUAUUUUUAAAGUUGUGGAAUCUAAAUUUGAUCCUAAUUCUUCUGAGUGGAAAACCAUAACGUUUCCAUGCAGUCAAUUCGGCCGAUUCCAUAUGAAACUCAUAUAACGCUCUUUAGAGCAACGCAAAGCAGUGCCAAAAAUUGUCAGCAGGCUGGUCAUGCAAUAAAGAGCAGACUUUCUACUUGAAAUAGUUUCAGUUCCCGAUUUCCAUAUCAUCAAAGUUUUUUAGUAAAAACAGGCCCGGCUCAUUGAAUUCUCUCGUCACCUGAUGGUCAUAGCUAAAUGUAUGGGUUGUCCGUGGGACGAAUUCUAGAGUGCUUCGCUGGUUAAUAAGUUCUAACUGAAAAACAGAGUAAAACAACAAAAAAGAAUGAGGAAAAUUAGUGAAAAUUUUAAAAUGCAAUGUUUUGUUGAUUAUAAAAACAAAUGGAUCACGAUUAUAGAAAAGAGAUUCUGCUACAUAAAGUUUAGAGUCACAUUCUUAUGCAUUGCAGACUUAAAUAAAUUUCAUAGAAAGUAAUCUCUUCUAUGAAACAAUUUAAAUAUCAAGAAAAUUUAUUAACAUAAUUAUUUAUAUAAUACUUUAUAAUAAUAUUAGAAGGUAAACAUUAAUUCGGAAUAUAUCCUGUUUAUUGCAUAGAAAAUAUUUUUAUCCGACUGAUUUCUAAAAUUGCAUAAAAUUUAUACCAUAUGAUUUGAAAAUUAUGAAAAAUUAGAUCAUAUUAUUAUAUUAGAUGAGCAUGCAUACACAAAUAAUAUUGUAUAAC
This 2314-nucleotide long non-coding RNA is filed under the name Androctonus crassicauda. Lineage: Eukaryota; Metazoa; Arthropoda; Arachnida; Scorpiones; Buthidae. The record is from RNAcentral.